UAAUAUUNCCAGGUUAGUAGUAGUUAUGUGCUUGAAAAUUAAAGAAGAUGGCGGUAUUUUAGUCUAUUCAGAGGAACCUGUCCUGUAAUCGAUGAUCCACGAUUUAUUAUACUUAUUUUUUAAGUUUGCAUAUCGCUGUAGAUGGAAUGUCCUUUAAGGGUUUAUAAACAUUCAAGAGGUUUUAUUUUGUGAAAGUAAAUCAGGUCAAGAUGUAGCUGAUAAAUAAGAAGAGAUGGGUUACAAUAAAUUUAUUUAUAACGGAUUAAUAUAUGAAAUUUAUUAUAAAGGUGGAUUUGAAGGNAAUUUUAUAUAAAUUUAU
RNAcentral lists this ribosomal RNA (319 nucleotides) under Galapaganus conwayensis. RNAcentral's name for it is "partial 12S ribosomal RNA". The record is from RNAcentral. Lineage: Eukaryota; Metazoa; Arthropoda; Insecta; Coleoptera; Curculionidae.